AUUGAACGCUGGCGGCAUGCCUUACACAUGCAAGUCGAACGGCAGCAUGAUCUAGCUUGCUAGAUUGAUGGCGAGUGGCGAACGGGUGAGUAAUACAUCGGAACGUGCCCUGUAGUGGGGGAUAACUAGUCAAAAGAUUAGCUAAUACCGCAUACGACCUGAGGGUGAAAGUGGGGGACCGCAAGGCCUCAUGCUAUAGGAGCGGCCGAUGUCUGAUUAGCUAGUUGGUGAGGUAAAGGCUCACCAAGGCGACGAUCAGUAGCUGGUCUGAGAGGACGAUCAGCCACACUGGGACGGAGACACGGCCCAGACUCCUACGGGAGGCAGCAGUGGGGAAUUUUGGACAAUGGGCGAAAGCCUGAUCCAGCAAUGCCGCGUGUGUGAAGAAGGCCUUCGGGUUGUAAAGCACUUUUGUCCGGAAAGAAAUGGCUCUGGUUAAUACCUGGGGUCGAUGACGGUACCGGAAGAAUAAGGACCGGCUAACUACGUGCCAGCAGCCGCGGUAA
RNAcentral lists this ribosomal RNA (506 nucleotides) under uncultured bacterium. RNAcentral describes it as "partial 16S ribosomal RNA". It matches the Rfam family "Bacterial small subunit ribosomal RNA", at positions 30 to 523 of the family's 1533-position model. The record is from RNAcentral.